This 201-nucleotide microRNA precursor is filed under the name Glycine max (soybean). Its description in RNAcentral is "miR1529 stem-loop (gma-MIR1529)". The record is from miRBase by way of RNAcentral. Lineage: Eukaryota; Viridiplantae; Streptophyta; Magnoliopsida; Fabales; Fabaceae.
AAUUAGAUGUUAAUCAUUAAUUGUCUACCUUCACUAUUUUAUUAAACGUUUAUCGUUACAUGUCACGAUUUUAUUAAACAUUAAUUUUAUGUACCUAAUUAACGUUAACUUCCAAUAAAAUUAGGAUGCGUGAUAAUCAACAUUUAAUAAAAGUACGACACUUAACGAUUAAAGGAAACAAUUAAUCGUUAACGUUCAAUU